This 253-nucleotide ribosomal RNA is filed under the name uncultured bacterium. RNAcentral describes it as "partial 16S ribosomal RNA". It matches the Rfam family "Bacterial small subunit ribosomal RNA", at positions 524 to 776 of the family's 1533-position model. The record is from RNAcentral.
UACGUAGGGUGCGAGCGUUGUCCGGAAUUACUGGGCGUAAAGAGCUCGUAGGUGGUUUGUCGCGUUGUUCGUGAAAUCUCACGGCUUAACUGUGAGCGUGCGGGCGAUACGGGCAGACUGGAGUACUGCAGGGGAGACUGGAAUUCCUGGUGUAGCGGUGGAAUGCGCAGAUAUCAGGAGGAACACCGGUGGCGAAGGCGGGUCUCUGGGCCGAUACUGACGCUGAGGAGCGAAAGCGUGGGGAGCGAACAGG